RNAcentral lists this transfer RNA (72 nucleotides) under Caldifarciminota bacterium. Its description in RNAcentral is "tRNA-His". It matches the Rfam family "tRNA". From Rfam's summary of the family: Transfer RNA (tRNA) molecules are approximately 80 nucleotides in length. Their secondary structure includes four short double-helical elements and three loops (D, anti-codon, and T loops). Further hydrogen bonds mediate the characteristic L-shaped molecular structure. tRNAs have two regions of fundamental functional importance: the anti-codon, which is responsible for specific mRNA codon recognition, and the 3' end, to which the tRNAs corresponding amino acid is attached (by aminoacyl-tRNA synthetases). tRNAs cope with the degeneracy of the genetic code in two manners: having more than one tRNA (with a specific anti-codon) for a particular amino acid; and 'wobble' base-pairing, i.e. permitting non-standard base-pairing at the 3rd anti-codon position. RNAcentral also lists the same sequence under 1 other name. Lineage: Bacteria; Pseudomonadati; Caldifarciminota. The record is from RNAcentral.
GUGGGUGUAGUUCAAUGGUAGAGCACUGGACUGUGGCUCCAGCAGUUGUGGGUUCGAAUCCCAUCACUCACC